RNAcentral lists this ribosomal RNA (452 nucleotides) under uncultured bacterium. RNAcentral's name for it is "bacterial SSU rRNA". It matches the Rfam family "Bacterial small subunit ribosomal RNA", at positions 28 to 500 of the family's 1533-position model. The record is from RNAcentral.
GAUGAACGCUGGCGGCGCGCCUAACACAUGCAAGUCGAACGGCACCCCUCUCCGGAGGGAAGCGAGUGGCGAACGGCUGAGUAACACGUGGAGAACCUGCCCCCUCCCCCGGGAUAGCCGCCCGAAAGGACGGGUAAUACCGGAUACCCCGGGGUGCCGCAUGGCACCCCGGCUAAAGCCCCGACGGGAGGGGAUGGCUCCGCGGCCCAUCAGGUAGACGGCGGGGUGACGGCCCACCGUGCCGACAACGGGUAGCCGGGUUGAGAGACCGACCGGCCAGAUUGGGACUGAGACACGGCCCAGACUCCUACGGGAGGCAGCAGUGGGGAAUCUUGCGCAAUGGGGGGAACCCUGACGCAGCGACGCCGCGUGCGGGACGGAGGCCUUCGGGUCGUAAACCGCUUUCAGCAGGGAAGAGUCAAGACUGUACCUGCAGAAGAAGCCCCGGCUAA